Long non-coding RNA from Amphimedon queenslandica, 280 nucleotides. RefSeq lists it as uncharacterized. The transcript is spliced from 2 exons. The record is from RefSeq and is a predicted model, not a curated record. NCBI's taxonomy places the organism in Eukaryota, Metazoa, Porifera, Demospongiae, Haplosclerida, Niphatidae.
GAACGACACAAUGAAAACAGAUAAAAACCUCAAACUAUUAGAAUAACCCGAUCGCUCGUUGUAAUAUCUCGAGCUAAUCAAGUAAGAGAAGCAAACAAAAUGAACAAUGGACAUCAACAUCAUGGAGAUGGUGACAAAGGAGGUGGACAUACUUGCAUCAUUUUAUAAAGAAACAAACUAGUACUUUUAUACCUGUGUGCUAAUGCACUUUUCAUACAUGUACAUGUAGCUAUAGUACAUUGAUGGUGUUUUCUUAGUUAUAAUAUUAGUAAGGUAUCAU